UUACUGGUCUGGGGAAUCAAUCCCGUUAGCUAGGCUGCCUGGCUAAUGAGCACUAGGAAUUCUGUGCCUUUCUCCGCAUUGCUAGGAUCACAAGAGCCUGCUCCACCAUGCCAGACUUUUGUUUGCUUGUGUGUUUGCUUUUUGAGACAGGGAUUCUCUGUGUAGCCCCGGCUAUUCUGGUACUCAUUUUGUAGACUAGGCUGGUCUUGAACUCACAGAGAUCUGCGUGCCUCUGCCUGGGAUUAAAGUGCUGGAAUUAAAGGUUUCUGCCACCAUGCCCUGUGCAUGCCAGAUGUUUUCUGUGGCUGCUGGAGGUAAAGCUCAAGCCCUUGUGUUUGUAUGGCUAGCAUCUGAAUAGCCAUCUUGUCAACCCCAACAGACCCACAAAUAAGAAAAGAUAAGAAAUUGCAGAUCUCCUCAGAGAGGCUAGUCAUUCGGAGAUCUAGCUGUAACUGUGUUAUCCCUCUAAGAACCACAUAGGAGGAACACUGGAUCCCUUGGCUGAUGGUCCCUGUGCCUUGUUCCCAGCUGUGGGACAUCCUGUCCUUCCGUUCCUAUUUCCUCCUUGGCUUCUAUCAGGAUUUGAUUUUGAGACCUUGCUAAUAGCUGCCUUCCUGACCAAUCACAGGUGUGGGAAAUGUGAACGGGUAGCCAGAAGAUGGAUCAGCAGUCUCCUGAAAGCUGGAGUCCCAGACGGACAUCUGCAAGAUGCCCCCUCUCUGGAGCAACCCAGCCCUCCCGGGACAAGAAAUGUGGCGACUCUGUCAGGUGACUUACUCAGCAUCCUUUUACUGGGUUAGAACAAUGGUGGAGUCCAGAGCC
Long non-coding RNA from Mus spicilegus (steppe mouse), 822 nucleotides. NCBI's taxonomy places the organism in Eukaryota, Metazoa, Chordata, Mammalia, Rodentia, Muridae. The record is from Ensembl.